Molecule: ribosomal RNA, 407 nt
Filed under: uncultured bacterium
Lineage: Bacteria
Description: partial 16S ribosomal RNA
Rfam family: Bacterial small subunit ribosomal RNA
Source: RNAcentral
GACGAACGCUGGCGGCGUGCCUAAUACAUGCAAGUAGAACGCAGUUGCGAACGGGUGAGUAACGCGUAGGUAACUGUCGCAUAGCGGGGGAUAACUAAUGGAAACGCAAGCUAAUACACAUCACUGUGAGCUGGACAUGUGUUGUAUUAGCUAGUUGGUGAGGUAAAGGCUCACCAAGGCGACGAUACAUAGCCGACCUGAGCGGGGUAGCGGCCACACGUGGACUGAGACCCGGCCCAGACUCCUACGGUAGGCAGCAGUAGGGAAUCUUCGGCAAUGGACGUAAGUCUGACCGAGCAACGCCGCGUGAGUGAAGAAGGGUGUCGGAUCGUAAAGCUCUGUUUUUAGAGACGCGGUAACUACCCAGAAAGGGACGGCUAACUACGUGCCAGCCGCCGCGGUAAUAC